Molecule: ribosomal RNA, 435 nt
Filed under: uncultured bacterium
Lineage: Bacteria
Description: partial 16S ribosomal RNA
Rfam family: Bacterial small subunit ribosomal RNA
Source: RNAcentral
GAUGAACGCUGGCGGUAUGCUUAACACAUGCAAGUCGAACGGACUCUUCGGAGUUAGUGGCGGACGGGUGAGUAACGCGUGAGAAUCUGGCUUUGGGUUCGGGACAACCACUGGAAACGGUGGCUAAUACCGGAUGUGCCGAGAGGUAAAAGAGAAAUUGCCUGAAGAUGAGCUCGCGUCUGAUUAGCUAGUUGGUGAGGUAAAGGCUCACCAAGGCAGCGAUCAGUAGCUGGUCUGAGAGGAUGACCAGCCACACUGGGACUGAGACACGGCCCAGACUCCUACGGGAGGCAGCAGUGGGGAAUUGUCCGAAAGGGGCGAAAGCCUGACGGAGCAAUACCGCGUGAGGGAAGAAGGCUCUUGGGUUGUAAACCUCUUUUCUUAGGGAAGAACAAAAUGACGGUACCUAAGGAAUCAGCAUCGGCUAACUCCGUG